CUUUGUCCCAGAGCUGAACUGUUCUUUGAAACGGAUGCACGGAGAAGCUGUCGAGGUUUCACCUGAACAGUACAAAUGAGGGACACAGUCAAGAAAUGUAAUAGGUUUAAUGAGGUUUAGUAUAGUUUUCAUCUGGAAAAGCUACACAGAUGAUGAGCAGGUGUGUCUGCCAAGGACUUUCUGAGACCACUCCCACCACUCGAAGACCUACAGUAGUUUUCACCCACGCCCACAGCUACCAAAGCCACCUCACAGCCACCUCACCAAAGCUAGGUCUGUGGACCAUGACAUGUUGAACGGAGGUGAUAUAAAGUAUUUCGAACAGAGGAGAGUAAGCAAGUGCCUACCAAGAGUCUCAUCAUGGAUGUGCAGCAGACAAACCUGCAGCAACUGUGCGCAGCAAAAGGUCAUUCAGAAUCAUUUCAUGAAAGGAGCCAGUUGAGAUGGAUCAGGCAUCUAACACUGGGAGGAGGCCCCGGGGCAGACUCAGGAUGCACUGAAGAGAUUAUCUUGGCUGGUCUGGUAAUGCCCGGACAUGCUUGAGGAGGUGGUCGGAGAGAGGGAAGUCUGAGCUUCUCGGCUUAGGCUGCUGCCCCCGCAACCCGGGGAAGAGCGGAAGAAAAUGGAUGGAUUUGUGGCUGGAUGGAUGGAAUUUCAUGUAACAGUGACUUCUUUUCAAAAGUUACAAACUUGAGCAUUUUAUUCUGAAAAACUGUACGAGCUGAAGACAGGUACCAUCACAGAAAAACAAACAUGAUGCUCGUUAAACAUAAAUACAUUUAUAAACAUGACACUGGUAUAAACACUUUCCUGAACCACCACAUAGAAAAAAAUUUAACUUUAAAAGUCAGACAUAAGUUCCUAAAAAUAAUCAACAACCUCCUGAAGGGAAAAAUGUUUGAGAUUGUUUGACUGAUCUUAUCACCCUAACAUCACAUACUGCACAUGAUCAUGUCUUCUUAUUUUACUACAUGAUUUUUAUGUUUGUUGUUUGUUUUAUGUAUGCUUUAUAAAUACAGUUUCUUAUUAAUUAAUGAAAACUCCACAUUUUUACAAAUAUAAACAGAAUAGUAACAUAAAUUCUUUGUACAGGGCACAGACUAAUACAAUUCAGAUUUUCUAAGUGUAAAUAAAUAGUACACAAUUUACUGUUGGAACUACAUCUCCCAUAAUGCUGGAAACGCUUGAGAAAGAACUAAGUGUGAGCUCAGUCAUUAAACUGUUCUCAUAAAACACUGGUGGACUUGAAUCUGUUGAUUGAUUUCAGAAAUCUUGCGGCUGUUUGCACCAGUGAAGGAGAAAUUAGUCGAAAAUAACUUGAUUCCUUCAGCUUAAUCAUUAAUAAAGUUUUGUUUUAACAAACCCUUUUUUCCCUGGUAAGUACCUAAUGGGCAGAAAACAUCGUGUAGAAAAAAAAUUUCUUCACAAAUAAUAUCCAGUGUUUGAUGUCAAAGAUCAAUAAAUAAACCAAUCAACUCAUUUAUAAAUUUGACAUAUCAGCUGACAUGAUGGAACCUGAAGUUAUUUUAAUCUCUGACUUGAGCUUCAAACCUCACACUGAUCUCAUUACUAAGGCAGCCCUCUUCCAGCUCUAAGAAAAUCAUUAAAGUGUGACCUCUCCUGACUCAGUCACCUCUGCUGAUGUCAUCAACUAACAUGUAACUGGAUUACAACAGCAUCCAGCCUCUUAUAACGCUAAUUUUAAAAUACUUUGACUUUUAUUUUAAGCCUUAAAUAAUGCUGAACUCAGUUACAUUUAUGAUAUUCUUUCACUUUUGGUCCUGGACAUCAAAAUUCCUCAGAGAGAAAAAUUGUGGAUGUAGCUUUUUGCUGUUGAUGUCUCAAAACUGUGAAACAGUCAACCUGUAAAAAUAAAUACUUUUAAGCCAUUGUUUCUGGUAUGUUUUCUGGUGGGCUAAAGGUCAAAUAAAAGAGCAGCAACUUGAUGAAUGAAUUACAAAUCAGACAGGACAGAGUUUCUAUGAGAGUUACAGCAAACUGCAGAAACAUAGUUGCAGGUGAUGAUUAUUGUGCUCUGAAGCUCCUGUUUUUAAGUUUCAUGUGAACUAAGUGCUGGGGAGACAUUUUUACUGGUAAAAAUGUUUUCUGCUGUGAAUUUGGUGAGGUGACUGGAAAGCUCUAUGAAUUAUAGGUCUGUUUUAUUAACACUUUAUUAAAGGCUUUCCUUUGACUGUAACUUUUACACAUCUAAUUACUAUAAUGUGACGUUUCACAGUGAACCAUGGGUCACUAAUCAUGAUUUACUGCAGCUGAAGCCAUGAUGUCCUAACCUAAUGUCCAAAUUAAGAGAGAUUAGUUUUAGCAUAAAAUUAUUAAAAUCAUGAUUAAUGACA
Long non-coding RNA from Pelmatolapia mariae (spotted tilapia), 2354 nucleotides. RefSeq lists it as uncharacterized. The record is from RefSeq and is a predicted model, not a curated record. NCBI's taxonomy places the organism in Eukaryota, Metazoa, Chordata, Actinopteri, Cichliformes, Cichlidae. The transcript is spliced from 4 exons.